This 253-nucleotide ribosomal RNA is filed under the name uncultured bacterium. Its description in RNAcentral is "partial 16S ribosomal RNA". It matches the Rfam family "Bacterial small subunit ribosomal RNA", at positions 524 to 776 of the family's 1533-position model. The record is from RNAcentral.
UACGAAGGGGGCUAGCGUUGCUCGGAUUUACUGGGCGUAAAGGGCGCGUAGGCGGAUGUUUAAGUCGGGGGUGAAAGCCCGGGGCUCAACCUCGGAAUUGCCUUCGAUACUGGACAUCUUGAGUACGGGAGAGGUGAGUGGAACUCCGAGUGUAGAGGUGAAAUUCGUAGAUAUUCGCAAGAACACCAGUGGCGAAGGCGGCUCACUGGCCCGGUACUGACGCUGAGGUGCGAAAGCGUGGGGAGCAAACAGG